CAACCCCUUGCAGAUUCCAAACCUAUAUAUAAACAUUCUUACACGAAUUAUAUCUAGCACAUAGCCAUAUUUUUAAAACUUAUAACACAAUGAUGAUUGUCUUAAUAGACUGCCCCAAAACCAUUUUAGCAAUGGCUCAUACAGUGUACAUCUAUAUAUAAAACCUUAAAAAAGAUUUGCAACUUUAUCAACAUAAUUUCACUUGUUUCUUAUUAAAAUUCUUCAUUUUAUCUUAAAGAAACAAACUUAAUCAGCAAAUUUCUGAACCUCCCACUCUAUGGAAGGAAGCAAUAUGAAAAAUAAAAAAAAAUUGAGUUGUAUGCUUUAACAUGGUCACACAGUUCGAUUAGAGCAAUAUGACUUCUUCAAAUUUUGUUAAUAAAGUACUUUUCCUAAUCUUCUCAAGUAUACUUACGGGUCAAAAUAUAGUAGAAAAAACAUAAGAUUCAAACAAUUUCAUUUAAGUGAAUCGUAGAGUCCAUAUCUAUUGCAAUUUUUUCAAACAAAAUAAAAUUAACCUGAAAAACUAGUUCACAAAUCCGUAUAGUAAAUAACAAGAAGGAUGGUUUCAAAGUUAGAGGUUUGAAAAUCUAUUACAAAUAAAAAAUAAAUAACACAAAAAAUCUAGUACCGAUCUUCUUCCGGCGACGACUCUGCCACGCCGUCGACAGCGGCUGCAUCCGCCGCUUUCUUCGCGGCUUCGAAAAACUCAAUGAGACAGCGCCGCCGUCGGCUAGGCCAUUUCUAUAUAAACAAGAUCUGAGAUGAAGUUGAUGGACCUGGAGGGCUUGAGAGGGCUAGGGCUUCGAUUGAGAGGUAUGAUAAGGUAUGAAAUCACACUAGGACUUCGAUUGAGAGGUAUGAUAAGUUUUCGCAGUUCGAUUGAGAGAAGGAAUAAGGUCUGAGUAUAGGAAGCAAGUGACCGAAACCCUCGUUUAAGUCUAACCCAUCGUUUUAAUUUCAAAUUUUU
RNAcentral lists this long non-coding RNA (970 nucleotides) under Panax ginseng (ginseng). RNAcentral describes it as "long non-coding RNA (PGIN_LNC018432)". The record is from RNAcentral. Lineage: Eukaryota; Viridiplantae; Streptophyta; Magnoliopsida; Apiales; Araliaceae.